UCCGCACCCUCCAAGUCCCUGCCCAAGACCCAUACAAGUGAUUCCCAUUCUACAGAUGGGGACAACAGAGGCAGAGACAGGGUACAGGAUGUCCCCGAGGCCACAGGACAAGUAACAGAAAGAGGCUGAACCUUGGAAGUAGAAGGAAAAAGGAAGAGGAGGAGGACAAAAUGCUUCUUUGUUCUUCUGGAAUUCAGGCUCCCAGCUCUCCCGAGCCAGCUGUGUGCUGCGUUCUGGAAUGUUUCUCAAGGCAAAGAUAGCUUCUUUCCCUUUCUUCUGCGUUCUCCUCAGCUUCCCACCUGCUUGUUGCUGUCUGCUGGUGUCACACCUCCUGCUGCCGAGAGCUGGGAGCUGAGCCGGGCUGGGUGAGACCGGGGCUCCAUCUGCCCGCGUUCUGGGACUGUCUGAAGCCAAGAGAAGAGCCGGUGUUCCCAGGAUGAGGUGGGAGGCCUGUUUCCUCCAGCUGGAACAACAGAGCCCCUCUGUGGGCUGGACUCGCAGAGGCCACGGAGCCCGGCCGGGCAUCUCCAGGGCCAGCCCUGACGCCAGCGCAGCUUCCUGAGGAGCUGGGUGAAGCCGGAUUCCGAGUGCUGGAGACGUGAACCUUGCCCAUGCCAGGCCAGCACUCUGCCACUGAGCUCCACCCCGUCAGCCCCCAGUAUCAAUUUGAAAGCAACUAGGCUAACCUUUUCCAGAGCCACCUUCUCCAUAAGGCACAGCACACAUGGGGCCUAGGAUCCGGGAUACCUUCAGAAGACUGUGAAAGAAAGGCUGAAUUUCUUUCUAAAGAAAAGAAGACUAGAAUGAUGAAAACUAGAUGAUGCAUCUCAUCUAGUUUUAUAUUAAUAAAACUGAAUACAGUGA
Long non-coding RNA from Chinchilla lanigera (long-tailed chinchilla), 864 nucleotides. RefSeq lists it as uncharacterized. Lineage: Eukaryota; Metazoa; Chordata; Mammalia; Rodentia; Chinchillidae. The transcript has 4 exons. The record is from RefSeq and is a predicted model, not a curated record.